RNAcentral lists this ribosomal RNA (1136 nucleotides) under Staphylococcus epidermidis. Its description in RNAcentral is "bacterial SSU rRNA". It matches the Rfam family "Bacterial small subunit ribosomal RNA", at positions 60 to 1179 of the family's 1533-position model. Lineage: Bacteria; Bacillati; Bacillota; Bacilli; Caryophanales; Staphylococcaceae. The record is from RNAcentral.
AGUCGAGCGAACAGACGAGGAGCUUGCUCCUCUGACGUUAGCGGCGGACGGGUGAGUAACACGUGGAUAACCUACCUAUAAGACUGGGAUAACUUCGGGAAACCGGAGCUAAUACCGGAUAAUAUAUUGAACCGCAUGGUUCAAUAGUGAAAGACGGUUUUGCUGUCACUUAUAGAUGGAUCCGCGCCGCAUUAGCUAGUUGGUAAGGUAACGGCUUACCAAGGCAACGAUGCGUAGCCGACCUGAGAGGGUGAUCGGCCACACUGGAACUGAGACACGGUCCAGACUCCUACGGGAGGCAGCAGUAGGGAAUCUUCCGCAAUGGGCGAAAGCCUGACGGAGCAACGCCGCGUGAGUGAUGAAGGUCUUCGGAUCGUAAAACUCUGUUAUUAGGGAAGAACAAAUGUGUAAGUAACUAUGCACGUCUUGACGGUACCUAAUCAGAAAGCCACGGCUAACUACGUGCCAGCAGCCGCGGUAAUACGUAGGUGGCAAGCGUUAUCCGGAAUUAUUGGGCGUAAAGCGCGCGUAGGCGGUUUUUUAAGUCUGAUGUGAAAGCCCACGGCUCAACCGUGGAGGGUCAUUGGAAACUGGAAAACUUGAGUGCAGAAGAGGAAAGUGGAAUUCCAUGUGUAGCGGUGAAAUGCGCAGAGAUAUGGAGGAACACCAGUGGCGAAGGCGACUUUCUGGUCUGUAACUGACGCUGAUGUGCGAAAGCGUGGGGAUCAAACAGGAUUAGAUACCCUGGUAGUCCACGCCGUAAACGAUGAGUGCUAAGUGUUAAGGGGGUUUCCGCCCCUUAGUGCUGCAGCUAACGCAUUAAGCACUCCGCCUGGGGAGUACGACCGCAAGGUUGAAACUCAAAGGAAUUGACGGGGACCCGCACAAGCGGUGGAGCAUGUGGUUUAAUUCGAAGCAACGCGAAGAACCUUACCAAAUCUUGACAUCCUCUGACCCCUCUAGAGAUAGAGUUUUCCCCUUCGGGGGACAGAGUGACAGGUGGUGCAUGGUUGUCGUCAGCUCGUGUCGUGAGAUGUUGGGUUAAGUCCCGCAACGAGCGCAACCCUUAAGCUUAGUUGCCAUCAUUAAGUGGGCACUCUAAGUUGACUGCCGUGACAACCGGAGGAAGGGGGGGA